This 349-nucleotide long non-coding RNA is filed under the name Elaeis guineensis (African oil palm). RNAcentral's name for it is "long non-coding RNA (EGUI_LNC067079)". Lineage: Eukaryota; Viridiplantae; Streptophyta; Magnoliopsida; Arecales; Arecaceae. The record is from RNAcentral.
GUCCCAUACGUGCAGGCUUGCAAGUUGCCUCGACAACUUUUUUUUUUGGACGCAGCACGCUAUGCUCUUAAAAAACCAAAUAUGAAAACUACCCUUCAUUCGUACAUAAUAUGCCAAGAAUGUGGCAGAAACAAACUGGGUUUGGUGGAGCCCAGAUGGCGCGCCAAUAGUUCUCGAUCAGAUUAGCUGGACCUUGUGGAACACACAACAUACAAACAUAAAUUGGGUAGGUAUUAGAUUCCAGAGGCUGGUGAAUGUAUUGAAUUGGGAUCAAUUUGUAGUUGAUGGUUCUAAUUUAUCAGCAACCUGUCAUAAGCUUCAACCAGCUUCACGAGAACCAUCCGACCAC